GAACUGCAUGUGUUUUUCCUAUAAGAAAUAAUGGAAAACCACGUAAUAGGUUUUGAAGCUCAAAAAUUACACUGAUCAAUUCAUGUUUCAAGGACUUUGAGCAAAUUUCACAAUGAUUUCUUUCUUUAACUCUAUUGUGGGUCUCACAGUUUUCCUCUUAGCUUUACUGCUGCUGUCACUAACUUUCUUUGGAGCUGUGGUUGUGAUAUUUUACACAAAGCACAAAAAGGCGCAUAAUGACGAAACACACUAACACAUGCGCUGUGGGUUGUCCGGGUGAGAGCGGCACUCAGACUGAAGUCGCCCCUUCGUGUCCUCGGCCAGACAUGACCCCUGACUUACUCUCAAUCCCUACAGGUCUUUCAGGUGGGAGUUUCCGUUCCACUGUCCAGGAAAGUGAAGAACGCCAAGCAGAUUGUUUUUCCAACUUUGCUGUUCGGGUGUGGAAAGUUUGAACUUGGAGCCAUUCAACAACUGAGAGUUCGCCAAAACAUAUACACACACUUCAAGAAAAGAAAAAUUGUGUGGGGGACCCUAGAGGAUGUCGUGUAUCACAGAAGACUCAGUACACUGCUGGCCCUUAGAGAAGAAAUUGAAAAUGCAUGUGCAGCAAUCUCAGUGACCAAGGUUAUGCAAGCAGCAGUUCCCUGUACUAAUAAAUGCCUGGAAGCCCAUGGCCACCACUUUGAGCAACUCUCCUAUUUGCAGAGGCCAAAGGAACUAUGAAGAAGAAAAGCACAUUCUUAUUGACCCACCAAUUUUUCCUGACCAUGAGAUUCAUUUAUAUUACCUGUGGAACAAAGAGAAAAACAUGAAGAGGAACAAAAGAAACAUAUGAACAAGUGGAAAGCAUGUAAAUUAUGUUAGGGCUGGUCCUGUCUCUCUUCUGACCUCCUGAUUCUGAACCCUGCUAAAUGUUAAUUUGUUAGAAAUCACAAGAAUAAUCUAAUAUAUUCACCUUAACCAUGUGACAGCACUACUGUUUUGCAAGGAUUUUCUAGAAGGAAUCUAAACCCUAAAUAUUGGUUACAGUUGUAAGGACUGAGAGGCUUCUGUAUGUUUUCCUUUAGGGUUUGAUUUAGGGUUAUAUACAAUAUCUUACUACAUUUUUCUCAGAAUACCAUACAGGUUUCUCUUUCCAAACCUUUGGUUGUUGCUGUUUUUUGAAGUUGCAGGGGAUAGGGGUAGCAAGUGCAGUACCGCUGAGUCACACCCCUAGCCCACUUUUCACCGCUUGUGGCUAUAUCAGUUUAGCCAUGUAAAACACUAAAACUUCGUCUCUUUCUCUCUCUCUCUCUCUCUCUCUCUCUCUCUCUCUCUCUCUCUCUCUCUCGCACGCGCGCGCGCACGCGCUUUUAUCUUAUCAGUUUAUCCUUUAGCAAGUCUCUUGAUCUAGGCUGGGUUCAGGUACUAUGAAACUCACCUGAAUGUGUUACUGAAUUUUUCAUUUCAACAAAUUUUAUUUCAUUCCUUUUACAUCUUAAAAAAUGUGUUGAGACUUUCUAUAUUUUUUUUCAAAAGUGUCUGUGGUAUGUGUUUAAGAUUGUGGAAGUAUUUUUAUGACAGUACCUUAUAAUCCUUCUAGAUCUCUUUAGCAUCUUUGUAUUUUUGGUGCCUGUUGAUUUUUGAGAUGUCCCUGAUUUUUACUAUAACAUUUUUAUUACAAUCGGGAUAUUUUGAGUAUUAUGAAGCUCUGGUUCCUAUUUUAAUAUUAUUAUUUUUACAGUCAUGUUUGAAUUUUACUUUGGGAGUUCACUCUAUUCAUACAAACUUUUCACUUCUUCAACAACCCAGAGGCAAAACUACCUACUGUUGCCAUAGGUAGAUGUUUAAUAAUGUCCAUAUCCACACAGGUACAUAUAGAUUCCAUAUAUGUAUCUAUUUUUUAGAGUUUCUAUUGGUAGACGUUUGCAGUAGGAAAUUGCAUUCAUCACGGGGUUGGUACAUGGACAUAACACAUCUUAAUUCUUUUUCUGUCCCUUCCUCUCCCCUCCCUCACCAUCCCUCCAUCUCUUGACUUCCUUUCAAUAGAUAUCUCAUGGCUGAAAAGUAGGUCUGCCUUUUUAUAGUUAGGGAAGGGUGUUACUGGUAGGAGAUUUUUCUACAUGAUAUUUGGGCGGAGUAGUGUUGCCAACAGCUGUCUUGUAAGGUUUCUCUCACUUGAUACCCUGACCAGAGAAUGAAUGGAAACUUAUCCUGAAAUAUUUUUUGUAUUUUAUUAGUACAUGUUUGUAGUACAUGAAGUUUACAAUGACCCUAGGGAGUAGGCGCACGGACAUAAUAAUUUCAGUUAUGUUUUUAUUCCCCUUCCACUCUCCACCCACCCUCCUCCCUCUGCUUUUAUGUCCCCUUUGCCCAUUUUCAUCAUUCUUGUUAUUACUGUUUUGUGUUUCUGACAUAUAAUACUUACCCUCCUUGUAGGUAUUUGGUACAUGUACACAACACAUUUUAAAUCUUUUUACUUCCCCUUCCCCAUCCACUCUCCCCUCACCCUGGUUUCUUAAACCCCUUCCCACUUGCAAGAGAUCUCCCUGUUUCCUUCUAUCAGUGCUUUAUUUUGCUCAUUAUUUACACAUUGCCUUAAUCAAGUCAGAAAUGCCAUAUGGUAUUUAAGCUUGUAUGACUGACUGACUCCACUUAAAAUUAUAUUCUCCAGGUAUACCCAUUUUCAUACAAAUGUCUCCCAUGCAUCUUUUUCUAUACCUGAGUAGUAUUCCAUUAUGUAUAGACAGUAUAUUGUCUUUAUCAAGUGCAGUGUGCUGCAGGGAAAAGUGUGUACACUGUUGUACGGUAGAACACUGCAAAUACCUAUGAAGUCCAUAUGAUCAAGGAUAUAGUUCAUCUCUGCUAGUUCUGUAUUUUUUGUUUAGCUGAUCUCAAAGCAAAAAUAAGGUAUCAUGGUCACCCACCAUGAUUGUGUUAGUGUUUAAUCUUUUCCAUCUAGCUGUGUUUGUUUUAUAAAGAUAGGCACUCCAGUAUAUGGGGCAUAUAUAUUUAUAAAUGUUAUCACUUCUUGUGAGAUCAUUCCCUUAACUAGUAUGCAGUUAUGCUCUUUGUUUCUUCUGACCAGGUUUAGCUUGAGGUUUACUUUGAGAGUAAUACUGUUACUGCUGCUGGUUACUGGGGUUCUGGUGCAUGAAAUAUUAUUUUCUAUCCUUUGAUUUUUUAAGUUAUGCAUAUCUUUUUGGAUUAGAUGCAUUUCUUGAAUGCAAAACACUGACAGAUUCUGUUUAUUGAUCCAGUCUUUUAAUCUCUGUCUUUUCACUUGGGGAGUUGAUGCUGAGGGUUGAGGUCAAGUAGGAUGAGGAGAUCAAAUACUCUAGCAAGAGACUGUACAUGCGGUUCACAUGUGUCCACUUUGCCAAAAAACCCCCGAGUCUUCACACAGUUCCCUUUUGCCUCAGUUGCAGUCUCACUUCAGACAGCCACAGCAGGAUCCCUUGUUCAACAACCCAAACCAACCCAGUUGCAGGAAUUCGCCUGCAGGCUCAGGCAGAUUCUGAUGCUGUCCCUGGGGUUAGUUUAGGAACUAGUCCCCAAGGCAGGGUGGCAGAAUCUGUGGGCAAGUGCAUUUGCAGGCCGGGUGUGUGUGUGUGUGUGUGUGUGUGUGUGUGUGUGUGUGCACGGAGUCAGGCGUGGACAGGCACUCUGGCUGGGUCCUGGGGAUUGCAUGAUGGCAUUCAUGCACCAGAGGGGUCUUCAGGAGAGACCCUGCUGGUGUGGAACCCUAGGACCCGGCGGCGACUCCCUCUCUGGCCCUUGGUGAGUACUGGUGAGGUUGCUACAGGGCCACAGCAUUGCCCAGUGAUUGGAGGAGAGGAAAGAGGGCAAAGGGCUGGCCAGACUCUGACCCAGGUGUGGUCUCCACAGGGGUCCACUUCUGCAGUGCUCAUUCCUUUGUGCUUCCCUCCCUCAGGCUAUUUGGAAAGCUCUCAUAAAGGCUGCUCCAGGGAGGAGGGGUAGGGACUGGAGCUGUGCAGACCAACCAUGGCAGUUCCUCUGUCCUUCUCCUGUGAUCCAGUUUUUAGUUUUUAUCCACAAGUAUCAUUUCCCAUUAAUUUUGUGGUUCAGGAUGUAAGACCCUCCCCUACUAGACAGUCUUCUCUGAGCACCUGUGACAUGAUUCCUCCUCUAGUCAGCCAUAUUGGAGGCUUUUAUUCUUCAUCUGCAUCGGUUGGUAUUUACAGGUUGCCACCUUCUAUACUUAGGUGUUAUGGUUUGUGUCUAGAUGUCUCUCCCAAAGCCUCAUGCAGUCAUAGUUGGGCUUCUUCAGAGGUGGCUGGAUCUGGAGUGUGUGAUUGAUUCAUGAUGCAAUGCUAGGAUUAAGGAUGCUCUGAUUAAGUGUAGGUUAUUACUAAAUCAGCCCGAUGAUUGGUUUGGCACUGCCCUAAUGCUGGUAGCCUGGAUACAAUAUAAGGGACAGAAAGAGGCUUGUCUUGUCUGCCUUGCUUGCUUGCUUUGCUACCUUUUGCCUGCUAUGAACUCUUUUUCCUUUGCGAUGCCUGUGUGCCAUGCCACUUUGUAUCCGCUAUGCCUUAGAGCCAGCUGAUUAUGGACUGAAAACUCUACAAACUGUGAGCUAAAUAAACCUUU
This is a non-coding RNA of Heterocephalus glaber (naked mole-rat), 4593 nucleotides long. The record is from RefSeq and is a predicted model, not a curated record. Lineage: Eukaryota; Metazoa; Chordata; Mammalia; Rodentia; Bathyergidae.